GACGAACGCUGGCGGCGUGCUUAACACAUGCAAGUCGAACGGAAAGGCCCUGCUUUUGUGGGGUGCUCGAGUGGCGAACGGGCGAGUAACACGUGAGUAACCUGCCCUUGACUUUGGGAUAACUUCAGGAAACUGGGGCUAAUACCGGAUAGGAGCUCCUGCUGCAUGGUGGGGGUUGGAAAGUUUCGGCGGUUGGGGAUGGACUCGCGGCUUAUCAGCCUGUUGGUGGGGUAGUGGCUUACCAAGGCUUUGACGGGUAGCCGGCCUGAGAGGGUGACCGGCCACAUUGGGACUGAGAUACGGCCCAGACUCCUACGGGAGGCAGCAGUGGGGAAUAUUGCACAAUGGGCGGAAGCCUGAUGCAGCAACGCCGCGUGCGGGAUGACGGCCUUCGGGUUGUAAACCGCUUUCGCCUGUGACGAAGCGUGAGUGACGGUAAUGGGUAAAGAAGCACCGGCUAACUACGUG
This 468-nucleotide ribosomal RNA is filed under the name uncultured bacterium. RNAcentral's name for it is "partial 16S ribosomal RNA". It matches the Rfam family "Bacterial small subunit ribosomal RNA", at positions 28 to 507 of the family's 1533-position model. The record is from RNAcentral.